RNAcentral lists this long non-coding RNA (500 nucleotides) under Monodelphis domestica (gray short-tailed opossum). RNAcentral describes it as "lncRNA (ENSMODG00000040639.1)". The record is from RNAcentral. Lineage: Eukaryota; Metazoa; Chordata; Mammalia; Didelphimorphia; Didelphidae.
AGCUCGAGGCAAGAGUUUUAUAGUCAGACACAUAAUUUUUUGUGGGUUGAGAGUCACUGGCUUCUGUCACCCCCUGAAGGGAAGGAUGGGGUAGGAAACAUAAAGAAGGGGAAAAUGGAAUUUAUGAUAAAUAGCUGGAUUCAACUUCAGAAUUAAAAGUCCUGCCAGUUUGCUAGCAGAUACUAUUAAUUUGAAUUUUCAUUCACAUUUCCAGUCUGGCGUUUGAAAAGGUUCUUUGUAUUCAUUCAAUGAUGAGGAUUUCAUCCACCUGUCUGGAACGGCUUCAUCCCCUCAUUCCUGUUCUCCAAUCGCCCCAAACUACUUGUCUCUACCUGUAGCCCCACCGCCACCAAUUGCCCAGGUGCAAUCAAUAGGGCUGGCUAACUCCAGCCUUUUGAGUAGAGGCUUCUGGUUCCUGGAUAGUGUUCCGUGGCUGCCGCCCUUUUUUUCCUGACGAUCACAGAAAGGCGCUAGUGACUCAUAAGUAAGUACUUCUCAGU